GGGAUAUGGGAAAAUGAUGCUAGUAGUAAACAGUGGUUGGACAUUCAAAAUACUUUUGUUACUCCUUCAUGUAUCCUUACAGUUUGUGAAUCACAUUUUAUGAUGUGUGUGUGUGUGUGUGUGUGUGUGUGUUUAUGAAAUUGUUUCCCU
Molecule: small RNA, 150 nt
Filed under: Marmota monax (woodchuck)
Lineage: Eukaryota; Metazoa; Chordata; Mammalia; Rodentia; Sciuridae
Source: RNAcentral